AUGAUCCCUGAAGCAAUCUGUUAUUUGGUGUUGCAUGCUCUGCAAAAAAAAAAAAGAGCGAGACUUAAAUCAAUAACAAACAUUCUUACAAGUUAUCUACUGCACAAGUAUGUGUCAGGCUUGCUUUACUCGCUGAAUGAAAUCACCCAGUAUGUUGCUACUGUUGGUAUCGUUGCAGCUGUAUCUCUGGACAGAAGUGUUUCUUCAGUAGAGGUUCCCGAGCUCAAAGAAUGAGAGAACAUCCCACAUCAGAAGGGACUCCUGCCUCCUUGCUCUCUAUGGCACUGCCUAGGCUUCAGCUGCUCUGAGUGACGUCCAAAUGCUGUCUGUUCCAAUACCUCCUCCCUUCUUUCUGGCAAGUUUUCUCUUAUCUACCAUCUGAACCUCCUCUGCCCUAACAUCAGGUUGUUCCUUCCCAUCCUAUUGCUAGCUAUAGGGGAAAAGAAGCUGACCCUUGCCACAGCCUCCUUUCAGCUGGUUGGAGAGAGGGAGUUUCAGCCCUUCCUUGAAUGCUUUUUAAGACCUGUAUUCCUUUUUUGUCUUGUACUGCAUUGCCCUGAACUGCACACAACACUCACCCUGAGCAGACUGCAGUUCUCCUAAUUUAGUGAAAUCAGUAAACAUAAUAAAUACACAUUUGACUCUUGUGUCCUGCUCAUUUAUAGAAAUACCCAGGAGACCUGCCUCUGACAAGAAGCUCUGCAAUCUGACUGGUGCCUAUCUCCCAGCUUCUUGCAAUUACGUUUACUCUAGGAAAUGCUUGGAGCCUUUUUUUUUUUUUAUGGGGCUGUCAUUGCUUAGCUGUUUGUUUUAAGAUAUACAAGUAGGAAGAACUGUUUUCUGAUAUGGGUUCUGAUAAAGGUAUAUCCCCUUACCUACUCAAAGACAUAAUACAUGCUUGGAACUAAGCCACAAGUGAAUACAUCUCCCUCCUGUAACUUGGCUGUUCUCUCAAGUGUUGGAGGGGCUCUGAGUCAUGAUAAACUUGUAGGAGUAGUUAGAAAACAGAAGAGACAGCAAUUACUCAAUCAGGAUGUAUUAGACAGUUGAAGUAAAUGGAUGCGUCCCUCUAAUAGAGGAGUGAAUUAAGAUCUCUCUUAAAUCAGUAAUGAAUUCAUAGUUAUGAAUUCAUUGGGUGAGCUUCUCUCACCCAAAGUUGGAUGUUUUUAACUGCUACAAUCCAAGUCAUUUCACAGUUCACAUUAUUAGCAUGUAUCCAGAAUGGCUGAGCAAGAUUUAUGGUUUGCAGCUGUAAAGCCUGAAACCACCAAAAAAAAAAUCCCUCUCGUGGUCUGUAAUGUAUUUCCUGGGUGCCUGUGUUCGGAAGAGAGCUUUCAACAUGCAUACCGCUCUUUGUAAUCUAUUUUCUUAUAAAUGCAAGUACAAACUCUCCUUGCCCUUGCUUUAGCCAGAGGCCAGGGCUAUACAAGUGUAUUCCUCUAUUAGUGAAGAAAAAAAAGGAUUUCCUUUCUUUUAAGUUUUUAUAAGUUUUUAUGACAAAUCAGAAACAAAAUCCUCAAGCCUUAUCUCAUGUAAGCUUGUCAACAACAAUGGCAUUUGACUGUGAACAGUUUCAAUAACUUGACCUUAGUUCUGUCAUUGUUUAUAUAGAGCACCUAUCCCAUGGCACAUGAGAAAGCUCUAAUCUUCUCUAGUAGCUUAUGCUUACGAGUGGUAACAUCCAUAGUCAUCUCCCUUCUCCAUCAACUCCUGUUACCAAGCUGAGAAGAUACAUUCCUCAAUGAGCAUCAAUGAAUGUCAAACUAAGAGGAUUUUUUACUUGAAAAUAAUAAAAAUGAAACUGAACUGUAUAGGGACAAUAGGUCUCACACUUCCUUACCUAAUUUAGCCUUUCUCAGCAGUGCAUAGGUUCGUAAGUACCCAGUGCAACAAAAAACAGUGGUACAAGGACUAAAAGUAAGGAAAGAUCAAAAUUUCAGAUUUCAUCUUUGUAGCUGCACUGGUGCAAUGAGAAGAUAUCAAAAAAAGAAGAAUGCUCACGCAUCUCUGAAGAUACAGGCUCGUGGAAGAACUCCACCAAGGAGGGAUCUCCUGGAAAAGAUCCUUCCUCAGUGGCAGUCAGCCCUUAAAUGAGGUUUAUUAAGAGGGGUGGAGUCUGGCUCCAGUCCUUCCCACAGAUGAAUCGCCUUCACCUGUGCUCCCAAGCCUGACCUGUCUCUUCUUCCAGGUGCUCAAUCAGUGGUUUGGGCCCCGACUCGGCAGUUCCCUUGCAGUCAUGCAAAUCUUAGUGCUUACAAUAUAAGCUAUUUAGACUAACGAGACACACCGGCCUUGAGAGGUCAGAGAGAACUGCUUCCCGGAGGGAAGUGGAACUGCUCAUCCUUCUCAACACCUUUCCCCAGAGAUGAGAUCCAAAAAACUUUUCUAGCCUAACAAAAGCACACGAGAACCAGACAAACAAACUUGAGGAAGAAAUCUGAGCUCACUGGUUGAUUCUGCUGGGGAAGACAGCUGUGGAGAUGGAUGGGCCGACAGUUUUUUUUCUUGUUCUGUUUUCAACAGUAAUCUAAUAAAGUAAGAUCAUCAAACAUAAGAGCGCAUGCCUGAAGUCACAGUCUGAGUCGCUGAAACCUCUUCUCAAUUAUUUACGCUGGGAUCAAGGCAGAAGUCUGAGGUCUCACUUAGAAAAGCUGCAGGAAGAAUUUGCUCAGUCCCCAGACAGGGCCAUCAUCCACCUCUUAAAAGAAAUUUAAUUGCCGUAUCCUCAGGAACUAACUGGUUUCCAACCCGUCUGAUUUCCAGAUGUAAAUUUGCAAAUACUCCAACUCAGAGUAUUUUACUAAUUUUUUCUAAUAAAAUAUCUAGGAAAAUACACUUUCACGCGGCCCAAAUCGUUAACACCGCAGUACAUUCUGUGCUUGGAAAAGUGCCAUUUUAAAUUACCACACACAAGAUUCACAGGAUUAAGA
This 2930-nucleotide long non-coding RNA is filed under the name Meleagris gallopavo (turkey). Its description in RNAcentral is "lncRNA (ENSMGAG00000022995.1)". Lineage: Eukaryota; Metazoa; Chordata; Aves; Galliformes; Phasianidae. The record is from RNAcentral.